Molecule: ribosomal RNA, 499 nt
Filed under: uncultured bacterium
Lineage: Bacteria
Description: partial 16S ribosomal RNA
Rfam family: Bacterial small subunit ribosomal RNA
Source: RNAcentral
GACGAACGCUGGCGGCGUGCCUAAUACAUGCAAGUCGAGCGAAGUUUUUCUGGUGCUUGCACUAGAAAAACUUAGCGGCGAACGGGUGAGUAACACGUAAAGAACCUGCCUCAUAGACUGGGACAACUAUUGGAAACGAUAGCUAAUACCGGAUAACAGCAUUAACUGCAUGGUUGAUGUUUAAAAGUUGGUUUUGCUAACACUAUGAGAUGGCUUUGCGGUGCAUUAGCUAGUUGGUGGGGUAAAGGCCUACCAAGGCGACGAUGCAUAGCCGACCUGAGAGGGUGAUCGGCGACCCUGGGACUGAGCCACGGCCAAGACUCCUACGGGAGGCAGCAGUAGGGAAUCUUCCGCAAUGGGCGAAAGCCUGACGGAGCAACGCCGCGUGAGUGAAGAAGGAUUUCGGUUCGUAAAGCUCUGUUGUUAGGGAAGAAUGAUUGUGUAGUAACUAUACACAGUAGAGACGGUACCUAACCAGAAAGCCACGGCUAACUACGUG